AUUACACUCUGACACGUAGCUGACAAGGACGGCGAGUGACAAGCGCCCUUUUAAAAUCGUCCGCUCGCGUCAAAUUAUUUCUCUCGGAAUACUCGGCGAAGGGAGUGCGACAUGAAAAAAAAAAAAAUGUGUCAUGAAAGCCAAGGAAUCGUUACCACAAGUGUCCUCCUUUAACGCCGUCGUGUUAAAAACACAUUGGUUGGACAAUUACAUGAAAGGAACUUGGAGCCCUCAGGUGUGUUUCUGCUUGACUCCUCGCCUCGUGUGAUGACUUGACACUAGCCUCCAGUGGAAGUGAAGAUGUUCUGCAGUAGCGUGUGACUUCAACAACACCAUCAGUGAAUACAAACAAAGGCCAGUAUUGCGACUUUAUUCAGUUUGUCCUUCAUAUGACACCAGUGAUUGGCCGUCCAGUCCACAUUUCAAAGCAGGAAGGUUUGGUUUGUGACGAGAAAUGUUUGAAACCAGGAGAUGGAAGUAGUCAGCUCAAGUCCACCAAUUUGUGGAGAGGUAAUGUCAAAAGAAGAGUUGGCCAAGUAGGCCGAGUCAGAAAAAAACCCCAAAAUUAUUUGAUAUAAAUGGAUUAAGAAAUAUUCUCAUUUGUUUGAAUCUAAAGUUAUUCUCAUAAAGAUGUGACAUUGUUCUUCUACUUUAUUUGUUUGUGUAACCUGACGACUUUUGCCAACAAAAAAAUUACAACUACACUGA
Molecule: long non-coding RNA, 708 nt
Organism: Phyllopteryx taeniolatus (common seadragon)
Lineage: Eukaryota; Metazoa; Chordata; Actinopteri; Syngnathiformes; Syngnathidae
Exons: 4
Source: RefSeq, a predicted model, not a curated record